GUACAAUUUAUUAUAAAUAUUAUACGAUGAAGUACCAAAGUUCAAAGUGGCAUAUGAUCAGAUAUUCAGAUUCCCUUUGCAGGUUAAACUCUAUACCAGCAAAAAAAAUGUUUUACAGUAUAUCUCCAAGAUUCUCCAUUUAAGAUAUUAUAAUUUCAGUGAUGAUGCCUUAUUUCAGGAUAAUUGGUGUUGUUUUUGCUGCAGCUCAGGCCGGAUUUUGGAUUGCAAGGCUAAGCAGGUCAUCUAAAUUGUGACACAACGGCAGAAGCUGAAAAGAAGAAAUAUAUAAACCACAUUGAGGAGUUAGUCCAAUGAAUGGGAUGGGAGCCCUUCAAAGUCACAUAUACAAGCGAUUUAUGUUCAAGCUUUAUACGAGCAGGCAAUUGAGUUAAUCGGAAAGGGGAUAGCCUAUGUGGAUCACCAGGAGUUCUUUCAAUUCUCCUAUGCUUGGGAUCUGUUUGAUUGAUGGACCUUAAAGCUCAUGCAAUAAUGCAUGAACUUGUCAAAAGGUUCAGCUGCUACCAACAUAAAUGUGGCUAUGUUGGAAGAUGAUACAGGAAAUGUUCAUGCCGCUCUAAGCCAUUUGCACGAAGCACUAUUAUUAGUAGUUACAGAAGCUGGCACUUACAUGGGUGCAUGUCGG
This is a long non-coding RNA of Triticum aestivum (bread wheat), 643 nucleotides long. RefSeq lists it as uncharacterized. The transcript is spliced from 4 exons. NCBI's taxonomy places the organism in Eukaryota, Viridiplantae, Streptophyta, Magnoliopsida, Poales, Poaceae. The record is from RefSeq and is a predicted model, not a curated record.